CACAUGGAGAUCUAGGUUAAAAUUACCUUGGCUGGAGAAGAGAGUGGAAGCAAGGCUACCACAGCAAAAGAUGUGUCCUUGCUGCUCCUAGAAAGGAAGGAAAGCAUGAAGGCAUCUGCAGCCUCUUGGGGCUGGGAAGGGACUUUCAUCCCCAGCCCUUUCGUGUCUGUGAGCCUGAGCAACAGCAAGGAAACUGAAUUUGGCCAGAAACCAAACUGAAGAGGAGUACAUUCAUUCCUGGAGUGACUCUACUGACCUCCCUAGAGCUGCUCCAGAGUUCAGGCCAGCCUUGAC
This 294-nucleotide long non-coding RNA is filed under the name Gallus gallus (chicken). Lineage: Eukaryota; Metazoa; Chordata; Aves; Galliformes; Phasianidae. The record is from RNAcentral.